Molecule: long non-coding RNA, 341 nt
Filed under: Homo sapiens (human)
Lineage: Eukaryota; Metazoa; Chordata; Mammalia; Primates; Hominidae
Description: HSALNT0096981
Source: RNAcentral
CUCAGUCUUUCUCCCUAGUGUCCCACCAGAAAAAAAACACCCAAGGAGUGCCAACCCUCCCUGUCAGCUAUGGAGUUUACACCAAGGAGGUAGGAGGCUUCCUUUGACAAGAGAAUCAGAACCGACUGGUGACAUUUGUUUCAAUGAAAGCAACAGUGUGAAGAGUAAGUAGUUUUUCCUAUUAUUCAUCUCACUCAGUGGAGAUAAUGAACUCCUCUCCACUGCCAAGAUGAGAAACUACCAUUUCUUACACAUGGACACAAAGAUGAGAACAAUAAACACUGAGACUUCAAAAAGGAGGGAAGGAGAAAGAGGAACAAGACUUGAAAUCUACCUAUCAG